This 284-nucleotide ribosomal RNA is filed under the name Enterobacter cloacae complex sp. 677-3DZ2D5B. RNAcentral's name for it is "partial 16S ribosomal RNA". It matches the Rfam family "Bacterial small subunit ribosomal RNA", at positions 1 to 281 of the family's 1533-position model. Lineage: Bacteria; Pseudomonadati; Pseudomonadota; Gammaproteobacteria; Enterobacterales; Enterobacteriaceae. The record is from RNAcentral.
AAAUUGAAGAGUUUGAUCAUGGCUCAGAUUGAACGCUGGCGGCAGGCCUAACACAUGCAAGUCGAACGGUAACAGGAAGCAGCUUGCUGCUUUGCUGACGAGUGGCGGACGGGUGAGUAAUGUCUGGGAAACUGCCUGAUGGAGGGGGAUAACUACUGGAAACGGUAGCUAAUACCGCAUAACGUCGCAAGACCAAAGAGGGGGACCUUCGGGCCUCUUGCCAUCGGAUGUGCCCAGAUGGGAUUAGCUAGUAGGUGGGGUAACGGCUCACCUAGGCGACGGUC